RNAcentral lists this ribosomal RNA (407 nucleotides) under uncultured bacterium. Its description in RNAcentral is "bacterial SSU rRNA". It matches the Rfam family "Bacterial small subunit ribosomal RNA", at positions 355 to 776 of the family's 1533-position model. The record is from RNAcentral.
UGGGGAAUAUUGGGCAAUGGGCGCAAGCCUUACCCAGCAACGCCGCGUGAGGGAAGAAGGUUUUCGGAUUGUAAACCUCUGUCCUGGGGGACGAAGGAAGUGACGGUACCCCGGGAGGAAGCCCCGGCUAACUACGUGCCAGCAGCCGCGGUAAUACGUAGGGGGCGAGCGUUGUCCGGAAUUAUUGGGCGUAAAGGGCGCGUAGACGGCCGGGUAAGUUAUAGGUGAAAGCCCAUCUUUCAAGGAUGGAAUUGCCUGUAAUACUGCUUGGCUUGAGUGCAGGAGAGGGAAGCGGAAUUCCUAGUGUAGCGGUGAAAUGCGUAGAUAUUAGGAGGAACACCAGUGGCGAAGGCGGCUUUCUGGACUGUAACUGACGUUGAGGCGCGAAAGCGUGGGGAGCAAACAGG